RNAcentral lists this microRNA precursor (61 nucleotides) under Pristionchus pacificus. Its description in RNAcentral is "mir-8364 microRNA precursor family". It matches the Rfam family "mir-8364 microRNA precursor family". Lineage: Eukaryota; Metazoa; Nematoda; Chromadorea; Rhabditida; Neodiplogasteridae. The record is from Rfam by way of RNAcentral.
UCCUCGAUUUACAUGCUAUCUCGCCGGUCAGACAGACGAGAGAGCAUGCAAAACGAGGAGA